This 379-nucleotide ribosomal RNA is filed under the name uncultured bacterium. RNAcentral describes it as "bacterial SSU rRNA". It matches the Rfam family "Bacterial small subunit ribosomal RNA", at positions 28 to 402 of the family's 1533-position model. The record is from RNAcentral.
GACGAACGCUGGCGGCGUGCUUAAUACAUGCAAGUCAACUGAACUUAAGAUAGCAAUACUUUAAGGGAGGUGGCGCACGGGUGAGUAACACGUAGGUAAUCCGCCUUUAGGUCUGACAUAACCUACCGAAAGGUAGGCUAAAAUCAGAUGAUGCAGCGGCUCGACAUCGAGACAGUUGUUAAAUCUUCGGAGCCUAGAGGAUGAGCCUGCGUCUGAUUAGGUAGUUGGCGGAGUAAUAGCCCACCAAGCCUGCGAUCAGUAGCUGGUCUGAGAGGAUGAUCAGCCACACUGGAACUGAGACACGGUCCAGACUCCUACGGGAGGCAGCAGUAAGGAAUAUUGUCUCAAUGGCCGAAAGGCUGAAGCAGCAACGCCGCGU